RNAcentral lists this ribosomal RNA (996 nucleotides) under Pileomyces formosanus. RNAcentral's name for it is "eukaryotic LSU rRNA". It matches the Rfam family "Eukaryotic large subunit ribosomal RNA", at positions 76 to 1108 of the family's 3401-position model. The record is from RNAcentral. Lineage: Eukaryota; Fungi; Ascomycota; Sordariomycetes; Microascales; Halosphaeriaceae.
UGCCUUAGUAACGGCGAGUGAAGCGGCAACAGCUCAAAUUUGAAAUCUGGCGCUUGCGCCCGAGUUGUAAUUUGCAGAGGAUGCUUUCAGGCGACGUGCCUUCCGAGUUCCCUGGAACGGGACGCCAUAGAGGGUGAGAGCCCCGUACGGUCUGGCGCCGAGCCGCUGUAAAGCUCCUUCGACGAGUCGAGUAGUUUGGGAAUGCUGCUCUAAAUGGGAGGUAAACUCCUUCUAAAGCUAAAUAUUGGCCAGAGACCGAUAGCGCACAAGUAGAGUGAUCGAAAGAUGAAAAGCACUUUGGAAAGAGAGUUAAAUAGCACGUGAAAUUGCUGAAAGGGAAGCGCUUAUGACCAGACUUGGGCUUGGUGGUUCAGCCGUCCUUUUGGGCGGUGUAUUCUGCCGGUUCAGGCCAGCAUCAGUUGCCGGUUGGGGAGAAAGACGGUGGGAAUGUGGCUCUUCGGAGUGUUAUAGCCCGCUGUUAUGCCCUUCUGGCGACUGAGGUUAGCGUUCUUCACGGAUGCUGGCGUAAUGGUCAUCAGCGACCCGUCUUGAAACACGGACCAAGGAGUCGUCCUGCUAUGCGAGUGUUUGGGUGUAAAACCCCUACGCGAAAUGAAAGUGAACGGAGGUGAGAGCUUCGGCGCAUCAUCGACCGAUCCUGAUGUUCUCGGAUGGAUUUGAGUAAGAGCAUAGCGCGCCGGACCCGAAAGAAGGUGAACUAUGCAUGGAUAGGGCAAAGCCAGAGGAAACUCUGGUGGAGGCUCGCAGCGGUUCUGACGUGCAAAUCGAUCGUCAAAUCUGUGCAUGGGGGCGAAAGACUAAUCGAACCUUCUAGUAGCUGGUUUCCACCGAAGUUUCCCUCAGGAUAGCAGUGCUGAUUCUCAGUUUUAUGAGGUAAAGCGAAUGAUUAGGGACUCGGGGGCGCUAUUUAGCCUUCAUCCAUUCUCAAACUUUAAAUAUGUAAGAAGCCUUUGUUGCUUUAGUGAACGAAGGCAU